AGCGCAGGCGGUUGGAAUAGUCUGAUGUGAAAGCCCACGGCUUAACCGUGGAAGGUCAUUGGAAACUGUCCAACUUGAAUACAGAAGAGGUAAGUGGAAUUCCAAGUGUAGCGGUGAAAUGCGUAGAUAUUUGGAGGAACACCAGUGGCGAAGGCGACUUACUGGUCUGUAAUUGACGCUGAGGCUCGAAAGCGUGGGUAGCAAACA
This 207-nucleotide ribosomal RNA is filed under the name uncultured Atopostipes sp. RNAcentral describes it as "partial 16S ribosomal RNA". It matches the Rfam family "Bacterial small subunit ribosomal RNA", at positions 568 to 774 of the family's 1533-position model. The record is from RNAcentral. Lineage: Bacteria; Bacillati; Bacillota; Bacilli; Lactobacillales; Carnobacteriaceae. RNAcentral also lists the same sequence under 1 other name.